AUGAUUCAAUUUUGUUAUUUUCCUUCAGUGCCUGGACCCGAGGCAAGAUCCUCAGCUGGGAUAAAUCAGCUCCACUUCCCUGUGGCCAAGGGAGGUAGGAAGAUGCACAGUGGUUCUGGACACAACCUGCCUUGUUUGGAGACUGGACCUCUUUUCCCUGCUGUUUUGGGAAGAAGCAGCAGAUACUGGCCUCUCUAUGCAGCCUGAACUCAGAG
Molecule: long non-coding RNA, 215 nt
Filed under: Zonotrichia albicollis (white-throated sparrow)
Lineage: Eukaryota; Metazoa; Chordata; Aves; Passeriformes; Passerellidae
Description: lncRNA (ENSZALG00000003662.1)
Source: RNAcentral